AGAGUUUGAUCAUGGCUCAGAACGAACGCUGGCGGCAGGCCUAACACAUGCAAGUCGAACGCCCCGCAAGGGGAGUGGCAGACGGGUGAGUAACACGUGGGAACGUACCCUUUGGUUCGGAACAACUCCGGGAAACUGGAGCUAAUACCGAAUAAGCCCUACGGGGGAAAGAUUUAUCGCCGAAGGAUCGGCCCGCGUCGGAUUAGCUAGUUGGUGGGGUAAAAGCCUACCAAGGCGACGAUCCGUAGCUGGUCUGAGAGGAUGACCAGCCACACUGGGACUGAGACACGGCCCAGACUCCUACGGGAGGCAGCAGUGGGGAAUAUUGGACAAUGGGCGCAAGCCUGAUCCAGCCAUGCCGCGUGAGUGAUGAAGGCCUUAGGGUUGUAAAGCUCUUUCGCCAGGGACGAUAAUGACGGUACCUGGAUAAGAAGCCCCGGCUAACUUCGUGCCAGCAGCCGCGGUAAUACGAAGGGGGCUAGCGUUGUUCGGAAUUACUGGGCGUAAAGCGCAUGCAGGCGGAUCGCUAAGUCAGGGGUGAAAGCCCGAGGCUCAACCUCGGAACUGCCUUUGAUACUGGCGAUCUUGAGUCCGGGAGAGGUGAGUGGAACUCCGAGUGUAGAGGUGAAAUUCGUAGAUAUUCGGAAGAACACCAGUGGCGAAGGCGGCUCACUGGCCCGGUACUGACGCUGAGAUGCGAAAGCGUGGGGAGCAAACAGGAUUAGAUACCCUAGUAGUCC
Molecule: ribosomal RNA, 740 nt
Filed under: uncultured bacterium
Lineage: Bacteria
Description: bacterial SSU rRNA
Rfam family: Bacterial small subunit ribosomal RNA
Source: RNAcentral